GGAUAACCUACCCUUAGGACCGGGAUAACCCUGGGAAACUGGGGAUAAUACUGGAUAGGCAAUUUUUCCUGUAAUGGUUUUUUGUUUAAAUGUUUUUUCGCCUAAGGAUGGGUCUGCGGCCGAUCAGGUAGUUGGUUAGGUAAUGGCUUACCAAGCCGUUGAUCGGUACGGGUUGUGAGAGCAAGAGCCCGGAGAUGGAACCUGAGACAAGGUUCCAGGCCCUACGGGGUGCAGCAGGCGCGAAACCUCCGCAAUGUGAGAAAUCGCGACGGGGGGAUCCCAAGUGCCAUUCUUAACGGGAUGGCUUUUCAUUAGUGUAAAGAGCUUUUGGAAUAAGGGCUGGGCAAGACCGGUGCCAGCCGCCGCGGUAACACCGGCAGCUCUAGUGGUAGCAGUUUUUAUUGGGCCUAAAGCGUCCGUAGCCGGUUUAAUAAGUCUCUGGUGAAAUCCUGUAGCUUAACUGUGGGAAUUGCUGGAGAUACUAUUAGACUUGAGACCGGGAGAGGUUAGAGGUACUCCCAGGGUAGAGGUGAAAUUCUGUAAUCCUGGGAGGACCGCCUGUUGCGAAGGCGUCUAACUGGAACGGUUCUGACGGUGAGGGACGAAAGUUAGGGGCGCGAACCGGAUUAGAUACCCGGGUAGUCCUAACUGUAAACGAUGCGGACUUGGUGUUGGGGUGGCUUUGAGCUGCUC
RNAcentral lists this ribosomal RNA (693 nucleotides) under uncultured archaeon. RNAcentral describes it as "bacterial SSU rRNA". It matches the Rfam family "Archaeal small subunit ribosomal RNA", at positions 102 to 795 of the family's 1478-position model. The record is from RNAcentral.